ACUUAAUUAGUUUAAUUAAAAUUUUGAUUUGUGAUAUCAAGGAUGUUAUAAAAUUAUUUACAUUAGGUU
RNAcentral lists this transfer RNA (69 nucleotides) under Arge similis. RNAcentral's name for it is "tRNA-His". The record is from RNAcentral. Lineage: Eukaryota; Metazoa; Arthropoda; Insecta; Hymenoptera; Argidae.